This 389-nucleotide RNase P RNA is filed under the name Mucilaginibacter sp. 14171R-50. RNAcentral's name for it is "RNase P RNA component class A". It matches the Rfam family "Bacterial RNase P class A". Rfam says of the family: Ribonuclease P (RNase P) is a ubiquitous endoribonuclease, found in archaea, bacteria and eukarya as well as chloroplasts and mitochondria. Its best characterised activity is the generation of mature 5'-ends of tRNAs by cleaving the 5'-leader elements of precursor-tRNAs. Lineage: Bacteria; Pseudomonadati; Bacteroidota; Sphingobacteriia; Sphingobacteriales; Sphingobacteriaceae. The record is from RNAcentral.
CCUGCAAAACGUUCUAUCGCUUCAGGCUUGAACUGAAGAGGAAAGUCCGGGCAACGCAGAGCAUCCUGCUUCCUAACAGGAAGGCGCCCGCAGCGGGCGACAGCCAGUGCCACAGAGAAUAUACCGCCCAUAUCCCGAUAGCUAUCGGGAUAUGGGUAAGGGUGAAAACGUGAGGUAAGAGCUCACGGCUUUUCCGGGCGACCGGAAUUGCGGUAAACCUUAGGAGUUGAAAAACCAAAUAGGUUCUGAAAGCGGUGCUGCUCGCACCCGUGUCCUUAGGGAUCGUCAGAAUGGGUAGGUUGAUAGAUCCUGCCGGCAACGGCAGGACCAGAUUAAUGAUAGAAACUCUUACAAGAGUACAGAACCCGGCUUACAGAUUUGCUGCUGUA